GAUGAAAUGCCUGAUAAAAGGAUUAUUUUGAUAGAAUAAAUUAUGUAAAUUUUACUUUCAUUA
Molecule: transfer RNA, 63 nt
Filed under: Yezoterpnosia vacua
Lineage: Eukaryota; Metazoa; Arthropoda; Insecta; Hemiptera; Cicadidae
Description: tRNA-Ile
Source: RNAcentral